Molecule: ribosomal RNA, 442 nt
Filed under: uncultured bacterium
Lineage: Bacteria
Description: bacterial SSU rRNA
Rfam family: Bacterial small subunit ribosomal RNA
Source: RNAcentral
AAUAUUGCACAAUGGGCGCAAGCCUGAUGCAGCCAUGCCGCGUGUAUGAAGAAGGCCUUCGGGUUGUAAAGGUACUUUCAGCAGUGAGGAAGGUGGAUAUGUUAAUAGCAUAUUCAUUUGACGUUAGCUGCAGAAGAAGCACCGGCUAACUCCGUGCCAGCAGCCGCGGUAAUACGGGAGGGUGCGAGCGUUAAUCGGAAUUACUGGGCGUAAAGCGCAUGCAGGUGGUUUGUUAAGUCAGAUGUGAAAGCCCGGGGCUCAACCUCGGAAUUGCAUUUGAAACUGGCAAACUAGAGUACUGUAGAGGGGGUAGAAUUUCAGGUGUAGCGGUGAAAUGCGUAGAGAUCUGAAGGAAUACCGGUGGCGAAGGCGGCCCCCUGGACAGAUACUGACACUCAGAUGCGAAAGCGUGGGGAGCAAACAGGAUUAGAUACCCUGGUAG